AUUAACGCUAGCGGCAGGCAUAAUACAUGCAAGUUGAACGGCAGCACAGGUAGCAAUACUGGGUGGCGAGUGGCGCACGGGUGCGUAACACGUAUGCAACCUACCCUAUACAGGCGAAUAACCUUUAGAAAUGAGGGCUAAUACGCCGUAGUAUUACAGAUGGGCAUCUAUUUGUAAUUAAAGAUUUAUCGGUAUAGGAUGGGCAUGCGUCCCAUUAGUUAGUUGGCAAGGUAACGGCUUACCAAGACGAUGAUGGGUAGGGG
RNAcentral lists this ribosomal RNA (263 nucleotides) under uncultured bacterium. RNAcentral's name for it is "partial 16S ribosomal RNA". It matches the Rfam family "Bacterial small subunit ribosomal RNA", at positions 29 to 289 of the family's 1533-position model. The record is from RNAcentral.